CGCGGCCUAUCAGCUUGUUGGUGGGGUAAUGGCCUACCAAGGCGACGACGGGUAGCCGGCCUGAGAGGGUGACCGGCCACACUGGGACUGAGAUACGGCCCAGACUCCUACGGGAGGCAGCAGUGGGGAAUAUUGCACAAUGGGCGCAAGCCUGACGCAGCAACGCCGCGUGCGGGAAGAAGGCUCUCGGGUUGUAAACCGCUUUCAGCAGGAACGAAAAUGACGGUACUUGCAGAAGAAGGUGCGGCCAACUACGUGCCAGCAGCCGCGGUGACACGUAGGCACCAAGCGUUGUCCGGAUUUAUUGGGCGUAAAGAGCUCGUAGGCGGUUCGGUAAGUCGGGUGUGAAAACUUGGGGCUUAACCCCAAGCCUGCAUCCGAUACUGCUGUGACUAGAGUUCGGUAGGGGAGCGGGGAAUUCCUAGUGUAGCGGUGAAAUGCGCAGAUAUUAGGAGGAACACCGGUGGCGAAGGCGCCGCUCUGGGCCGAUACUGACGCUGAGGAGCGAAAGCGUGGGUAGCAAACAGGAUUAGAUACCCUGGUAGUCCACGCCGUAAACGUUGGGCACUAGGUGUGGGUUUCAACCAACGAGAUCCGUGCCGCAGCUAACGCAUUAAGUUCCCCGCCUGGGGAGUACGGA
Molecule: ribosomal RNA, 640 nt
Filed under: uncultured Actinomycetes bacterium
Lineage: Bacteria; Bacillati; Actinomycetota; Actinomycetes
Description: bacterial SSU rRNA
Rfam family: Bacterial small subunit ribosomal RNA
Source: RNAcentral